ACAGUGUCGAAGGAACAUGAAUCUUACUAGCAUAAAUUUGACACUUAUGGCAUUUCUUCACAAACUUGCAACACUUACAUUCCAUUGUCAGCCAAUAGUAACCUUCUCUCAACAUAUUAUUUUCCAUAGCAUGUCCAUUGGAAUGAGUACCAAAGGAACCUUCAUGUACUUUAAUCAUCAACAUGUAUGCUUCGUGUCUAUCCAUGCAUCUGAGCAAAACCAUAUCGAAGUUUCUCUUAUAAAGCAC
This 247-nucleotide long non-coding RNA is filed under the name Lathyrus oleraceus (garden pea). RNAcentral's name for it is "Pisum sativum (pea) long non-coding RNA (PSAT_LNC020727)". The record is from RNAcentral. Lineage: Eukaryota; Viridiplantae; Streptophyta; Magnoliopsida; Fabales; Fabaceae.